ACUCCUACGGGAGGCAGCAGUGGGGAAUAUUGGACAAUGGGCGCAAGCCUGAUCCAGCCAUGCCGCGUGAGUGACGAAGGCCUUAGGGUUGUAAAGCUCUUUUGGCGGGGACGAUAAUGACGGUACCCGCAGAAUAAGCCCCGGCUAACUUCGUGCCAGCAGCCGCGGUAAUACGAAGGGGCGUAGCGUUGUUCGGAAUUACUGGGCGUAAAGCGCACGUAGGCGGAUUUGUUAGUCAGGGGUGAAAUCCCGGGGCUCAACCUCGGAACUGCCUUUGAUACUGCAAGUCUUGAGUCCGAGAGAGGUGAGUGGAAUUCCUAGUGUAGAGGUGAAAUUCGUAGAUAUUAGGAAGAACACCAGUGGCGAAGGCGGCUCACUGGCUCGGUACUGACGCUGAGGUGCGAAAGCGUGGGGAGCAAACAGGAUUACAUACCCUGGUAGGCUCUGC
This 448-nucleotide ribosomal RNA is filed under the name uncultured bacterium. RNAcentral describes it as "bacterial SSU rRNA". It matches the Rfam family "Bacterial small subunit ribosomal RNA", at positions 335 to 800 of the family's 1533-position model. The record is from RNAcentral.